CCGCGCCGAGGUGCGGCAGAGCUUGGGGAUGGUGGCCCGCACGCCCUCGCCCCGUCUGCUGCAGACCAGCCUGGAGCUGGAGGGUCGCUGAGCGCCGCGAGGACCGUGGGCGGGGCGCAAGGCCUCCGCGGGGGGAGGGGGGGCUCCCGCGUUGGUCCCCAGGAAACCCCGCCUCGCCUGCAGGCAGCGCGGCACCCUCGGCCGGGUAUGAAAUGCCCGCUCCGCGUCUCCCGGCCAAUCCCAAGUCGUCCUUCAAGACGUCCCUGCUCCGGAAAGCUGUCGCCGUAAAACUGCCCCGCCCCGUCCCUCCCGGCAUGGCCAUCCCCUUGGCGCCGGCAAGUGGGAGCGAUGCGGACCAGGGCCGCUCCCCAGUCUCGAGCGGCACUCCCCCUCCUCCAGCCCGCCCCUGCCCGGGAAGAUGCCUGCGAGAAACCAGAAGUGAUUCACGCUACGCCACGUGAUGGCCCCGCAUCAGCGACCUGAAAGCGGAUGCUGAAUUUCGGCCAAUGCUGGUCCGUGUGCUUUACAUGCGUUACCUCAUUUUAUCCCCAAAACAACCCUGUGGGAAAAUGGGGAUGAUGAUUCCUACUUAAAACAGUUGCUGAGAAGAUGACAUGAGAAAAUAUUGUCAAAGAUUUUAACACAGUGGAAACCAUCACAAAUGAUCUCAAAGCAUCUGAACAUCAUAUAUAGUUUUUUUUCUGAUUAUAAGUUAUUUGGAAAAUAUAGAAAAAUAUAAAGAAGGAAAUAAAAAUAGAUUAGAAUAUCACUGUUCAGAAAUAAACACUGUUAACAAUUUGUUGUAUUGCUUUCCAGUCUUUACACUAUAUGUUGUUGUUUUAUAUGCAUUAUGGUUGAGGCAACUGUACUGUAAUGGUUAAACCUGUGGGCUGUGGAAUCCUGGUCCUAGCAUCUACUUUAUGUGUACUAUCUCAUUUACCCCUGAAGACAACCAUUUAAGGCAGGUGCUGUUGCUACUCUCAGCUUCACGGAUGAGGAAGCUAAAGCAGCUAAAGUUUGGGUGAUUUUCCCCAAGUUUCUAACUGGAAAAUUGCAGAUAGUGGACUUGAACUCAGGUCUGAGUGACUCUACUGCCUCUGGUACUCUGCCCUCACACUAGCUUGUUGGUCACCUAAGCACUACAUCAUCUGAAGUCAAUAAAGCGGGAAAUGUUGUCAUACCCAUUUUACAGAUGAAGAAAUUGAGGUACAAAGAAGGUUAACAGACUUACCCAAGAUUAUAGAGUCAGGAUGAAGCCCCUGAGAAUGGAUUCCCCAGGGGCUUUGCAAAUGAAGAUAUCUUUACCAAACCACAGCUAACAUAUUUGUCACUGUCCUUGAAUGGUUCUGUUUCAUCUGUUUCUUAGCUCUUCAACAUGACCAGACUGCCUCUUCCCUCCCGCCUCCCUCUGCCUCCCCCAUGGAGUAGCAAGGCUCCAGGAACAGGCAAAAGAGAACUCAGAUGGGCUACUCCCGCUCUCCUUCCUCCUGCCCUGGCCCUCAUAGUUUGGCAAGGUCAGGCUUCCUGCUGGCCUGAGAUUGCAGCUGCAAGAGGGCAGUGAGGCCAGGAAGGGCUCCCCUGCAGGUCACUUGGCCCUAGGAGAAAGGGUGGGCUCUGCUAGCUGUAUGCAGUUGAGAAAAGAGCAGAAACUCUGAAGACACUGAGGUCUUGGUUACCUAGAGGUGUUUUCUCCUCUGGAAGAGGAGACCACCCAUCCCCACCCACUGCAGUUUGAUGUGAGGGUUACAGAGAGGACCCUCCUACUUCCUCUUCCUCCCCAGGGCUGGAUGUGUUCACCGCCUCCCUGGGCCUCUCUAGUCCGUUAGGGACAGUUCUUGCUUUGAAAGAGUGGUCCUUUGUGUAAUUUCCACUCAUUGCUUCCCUCUGCAAUAUCAUAACCCUUCCAGACAGGCACUUCAAAUAUAUUUGCCUGACUCUUCAAGCUACGUUUCCUCCUGUCCUUCGCCCUCCCUCCCACAUCUGUUUUCUAGGCCCUUCACUGUAAUAGAGUCACACAGCCCGGGUUCAAAUCCUCGUGCCAUGACUUACUAGCGGUAUGAGAUUGGGCAAAUUACUGAACCCCAGAGUCUCAGUUUCCAGGUUAUAAAAUGGGCCUAAUAAUGGGAAAUCACUUCAUAAUGUUAGCAUGAGAGCUAUCUCAACAUACUGUAAGCAGUGAUGAGUAAUAUCAUCUUAGAAAUCUUUGCUCAAAGCAAAAGGUUGUACCUCCUUAUUGUUUGAUUUGCAUUUCUUCGAUUGCUAAUGAGAUUGAACAUUUUUUCAGUUAUUAGUCAUUUAUAUUUCCUCUUUUAGUGAGUUGUCUAUUUUCUGAAUUGUCUAUUUUCUAUGUCCAUUUUCUUUGAAACCUUAACUUAUUCACUUAUAUUAACCCUUUCUAUGUUAAUAAUAACACUUUGUCUUUUAUAUU
Orcinus orca (killer whale) is the source of this 2428-nucleotide long non-coding RNA. RefSeq lists it as uncharacterized. NCBI's taxonomy places the organism in Eukaryota, Metazoa, Chordata, Mammalia, Artiodactyla, Delphinidae. The transcript is spliced from 3 exons. The record is from RefSeq and is a predicted model, not a curated record.